Molecule: ribosomal RNA, 442 nt
Filed under: Lomentospora prolificans
Lineage: Eukaryota; Fungi; Ascomycota; Sordariomycetes; Microascales; Microascaceae
Description: Scedosporium prolificans Eukaryotic small subunit ribosomal RNA
Rfam family: Eukaryotic small subunit ribosomal RNA
Source: Rfam by way of RNAcentral
AUCCGGCGGUCUUUUCCCGAGUGGAAACAACUGGGCCUCUAGGGGUUGGGGGGGGGAAACAGGCUUUUAAUUUGGAAAAAAUUAGAGUGCUCAAGGCAGACUUAUGCUCGAAUACAUAAGUAUGGAAUAAUAGAAUAGGAGGUGUGUUUCAAUUUUUUUGGUUUCUAGGACCGCCGUAAUGAUUAAUAGGGACAGUCGGGGGCAUCAGUAUUCAAUUGUCAGAGGUGAAAUUCUUGGAUCUAUUGAAGACUAACUACUGCGAAAGCAUUUGCCAAGGAUGUUUUCAUUGAUAAGGAACGAAAGUUAGGGGAUCGAAGACGAUCAGAUACCGUCGUAGUCUUAACUAUAAACUAUGCCGACUAGGGAUCGGACGAUGUUAUUCUUUGACGCGUUCGGCACCUUUCGAGAAAUCAAAGUGCUUGGGCUCCAGGGGGAGUAUGGU